CCAAUGGUCUGCCUCUCUAUAGGGCAGCUUCCGAUGUGGAAGGGGCACGACUCUUUCCAGGGUGCGUGAGGCGCUUGCUCCGUUUCAGUACAAGCCCUUCCUCUUGGGAAAAGAGGAAACCGAAGCUCCCCUUUGCGGUGGAUCCAUAUCUAUCUCGGAGGCAAUGGCUUCUACUGCAUGGAUCAGGUCUCUCAGCAGAUUGCUACAAUGCACUCUGCACGGGUCCGUCUUUGGGGACCCAUCUGGAAACUUAAAUCAGUUCAGAAUAUGGUCUGCUACCAUGAGAGCUGUUAACCGGGUGGGGGGGGCUCAGUUUCAGGAAUGUAACCCCUAUAUUGUACCAUCUCCGUCAUUUCUGGGCCCAAUGCAAGGUUCGGACUGAUGUUGCCACGUGACAGACGAGACAUCGGGAAUACAUUUUAACAAACUUUAUUGACUAUCGUAAGAAACUGGAAUACAAUAAAUUCAAAUUGAAAAGCCCAAGUCUACAGGGAUAAUAGAUGAAGAAAUAAUACAAGGAGAAGAACAGCAGACAUAGAGAUGUAACAAAACAGAUCAAUAAACAAAUUAAAAAGAGAAAGCUCAAAGGGAGAGUUAAUCCAGACCGAAGAAUAUUUUUCCAAAAUUAACUCCUUUCAAUUCAGCUGGCCAAGAUGAAGAGAGAGUACAUUUCUGUUCGAGCUAAUACUAUCUGGGUCCUUCUAUAUAUAUAGAGAGAAAAGCCUUACCUUGUUCACAGGUAUCUCAGUCCUUGCUAGCAAUGCCUUUGAGGGUCUGUCCUUCAGUAAUGGGUGGUGGUCUUCAGGUAACAAAGAUCAGAACUUUGCCCCCAUGUAACCACAACUAGCUAAUCCAGAUUUCCAAGCUAACAGCGUUUUCUCCUUCCUUUCCUUAACCUGUGCACAAUCUCUGGUCUUGCAUUUUGCACUCGGCUUUGGCCAACUGAUCUUAACCCUGUAUCAUUUCUUAAAUGAUACAGGAUUAUAACAGGCAAGUUUACAAUAUGGAAGACAGUUGGCUGCUGCCAACAACUCCACUUUUGGUGGGAGUGUGGCAUAGGGUAAACAAACCCAAAAUCUGGCAGAUUAUUUGAAAGUGAUUUUUUUUCUCUGAUUUAGUUCCACAUCAGUUUCAACUAUGAGUGAUUGAGGCCAACUCUUUUUUGCACACCUAGUUCAACAUGGGAUUUUUUUUAAAGUACCGGUAUCCACAUUAUAAAUGCUGAUUUGUAUAUGCAAUGGAGUUAUUAGUAUCACAAUAUUUAUUUAUUGUACCGUAAUCUUAAUACUAGAUGGUUAACCAUACAGCCUACCUCGAAAAACCCACAUCAACAGGAAACUGGAAGAUAAUGAGAGGCAAAUACAAAAUCAAGUCACAUCAACGCUGCAUUCUUACUUGGGGUUGAAGAAAGACAGUAUAUAACAUGAUGGGGGAACUUAAAAAAAUUAUUGUGUUGAUUUUUGUAAAUGCAUCCAGUCUUACAUACUGUACUAUUGGCGUUACCUACUUCAGAGCUUGGGGAUCAGCAAAUAUAUAGUAAUAAAAGGCCCUGUUUCUGUCAUCCUUAGGGACUGGGAGGGUUUAAAGCAAGCAUCCUUAGCAGUAGGUGAAAACUUUGAAACUGCCACUUCCCAGUCUCUUAAAAUAAGGCAGAGUGCAAGCAUAGCUGUCAACGUUUCCCUUUUUUAAAGGGAAAUUCCCUUAUUCCGAAUAGGAUUCCUCGCAAGAAAAGGGAAAAGUUGACAGCUAGGAGUGCAAGAGCCUGGCGCAAAUCAAAAAUUCAUUCCAGAUUUAAGUGUUCUGGAAUUUUAUUAGAUAGGAGAAGGAACAGAAAUGUGUUCCACCAAGAGACAGCUGCUUUGUCAAAUUCAAUGCUUUUGCAAAUAUGGUCAAAAUACAACUGAGAAUAUCAGCCACAACACUACCCAUAUGGUGCUCCUGGUGAUAUCCUAGGGCUUCAUAUUAAGCUACAGGAGGUUAGCGAAACCUGCAACUAUUUGCUGUUUCCCAGCUGUGGAUAACCUUAUCACCUAUACAGUGGUACCUUGGUUUACGAACUUAAUCCGUUCCAGAAUUCUUAAACCAAAGCGUUCUUAAACCAAGGCGUGCUCACUUCCCAUAGCAGUAGGGGACUCAAUAUACAAAUGGAGCACACCCAACAGGAAGCAAAACAUGUUCUGCUUCCAAGGCAAAGUUCACAAACCAAAACACCUACUUCCGGGUUUGCAGCGUUCUUAAUCCAAGUUGUUCAUAAACUAAACCAAGGCACCACUGUAAUGUAGAAAAGUUAGGAAUAAACUUGCAAUACACUGCUGGAAAAGUUAGGAAUAAGCUUGCAAUACACUGUAGCGGAGAUGAUCCGUACUAGGUCUAUAAAAUGGCCAUCAAGACACGGUAUAAAAUUUUCACAACUUGUUAAGGUCAUGCCUAUGGUAAAGCAUUUCUUCUGAGCAUUUCCCUCUGCCUGGGCUCUGCGUUCACAUUUUGAAUGCCACUUCUGCAAUUAUUUACAGCAGCCUUCGCCAACCUGAUGGCUUGGACUCCAAUUCCCAUCAGCCUUCGCAGGCUAGGGCUGAUGGGAGUUGUAGUCCAAAAUAUCUUCAAGGGCAUCAGGUCGGCAAAGGCAUAAACCAGGGAUAGGGAACCUGGUUGGGUCUUGCUAGACUCCCAACUCCUACCAGCCCUGAGCACU
Molecule: long non-coding RNA, 2692 nt
Organism: Podarcis muralis (Common wall lizard)
Lineage: Eukaryota; Metazoa; Chordata; Lepidosauria; Squamata; Lacertidae
Source: Ensembl